Bradysia coprophila is the source of this 256-nucleotide long non-coding RNA. The record is from RefSeq and is a predicted model, not a curated record. NCBI's taxonomy places the organism in Eukaryota, Metazoa, Arthropoda, Insecta, Diptera, Sciaridae.
ACAGUUGGGAUCAAAAGUCGGUCUAUUCCAUCUGUCAAAGUGACGUUUUAAACGUCAAACCAAAAUUUGUAUGCGAAAUAGUUACAAACUCGCUUAUUUUUCCUCAAUUCUAUCAGUGGAAUAGACUCAUUAAAAAAUAAACGAUGUUGUGAUUAUUAGGCUAAAUUUUUUUGUUUUGACGUUUAAAACGUCACUUUGACAGAUGUAAUAGACCGACAUUUGAUACCAACUGUCACAUAUCACAAAAUUUAAUGAG